UGGUAGAAAGGCUCUUUCUUAGGGCCUGGUA
RNAcentral lists this non-coding RNA (31 nucleotides) under Mus musculus (house mouse). The record is from RNAcentral. Lineage: Eukaryota; Metazoa; Chordata; Mammalia; Rodentia; Muridae.